UGAGUAACCUGCCCUGGACUUUGGGAUAACCCUCGGAAACGGGGGCUAAUACCGGAUAUGACACGCUCUCGCAUGGGAUGUGUGUGGAAAGUUUUUCGGUCUGGGAUGGGCUCGCGGCCUAUCAGCUUGUUGGUGGGGUGAUGGCCUACCAAGGCGACGACGGGUAGCCGGCCUGAGAGGGCGACCGACCACACUGGGACUGAGACACGGCCCAGACUCCUACGGGAGGCA
Molecule: ribosomal RNA, 231 nt
Filed under: uncultured bacterium
Lineage: Bacteria
Description: partial 16S ribosomal RNA
Rfam family: Bacterial small subunit ribosomal RNA
Source: RNAcentral